RNAcentral lists this unclassified non-coding RNA (358 nucleotides) under soil metagenome. Its description in RNAcentral is "partial contains 5.8S ribosomal RNA, internal transcribed spacer 2, and large subunit ribosomal RNA". The stretch from base 1 to 120 matches the Rfam family "5.8S ribosomal RNA", at positions 35 to 154 of the family's 154-position model. The record is from RNAcentral.
GAUGAAGAACGCAGCGAAAUGCGAUAAGUAAUGUGAAUUGCAGAAUUCAGUGAAUCAUCGAAUCUUUGAACGCACAUUGCGCCCGUCAGUAUUCUGGCGGGCAAGCCUGUUCGAGCGUCAUUACGCCCCUCAAGUCCCCUGUGGACUUGGUGUUGGGGAUCGGCGAGGCUGGUUUUCCAGCACAGCCGUCCCUUAAAUUAAUUGGCGGUCUCGCCGUGGCCCUCCUCUGCGCAGUAGUAAAACACUCGCAACAGGAGCCCGGCGCGGUCCACUGCCGUAAAACCCCCCAACUUUUUAUAGUUGACCUCGAAUCAGGUAGGACUACCCGCUGAACUUAAGCAUAUCAAUAAGCGGAGGA